RNAcentral lists this ribosomal RNA (435 nucleotides) under uncultured bacterium. RNAcentral's name for it is "partial 16S ribosomal RNA". It matches the Rfam family "Bacterial small subunit ribosomal RNA", at positions 29 to 507 of the family's 1533-position model. The record is from RNAcentral.
AGCGAACGCUGGCGGCAGGCUUAACACAUGCAAGUCGAGCGGGAACUUUCGGUUGUCAGCGGCCGACGGGUGAGUAACGCGUUGGUACGUGCCCUCUUGUUCGGACUUACUCAGUGAAACUUCAACUAAUACCGUAUACGCCCUUUUGGUGUAAGGCUUGCUGCCGGAGGAUCGGCCCGCGUCUGAUUAGCUAGUGGGUGAGGUAACGGCGCACCAAGGCUGAGAUCAGUAGCUGGUCUGAGAGGAUGAUCUACCACACUGGGGCUGAGACACGGCCCAGAAUCCUACGCGAGGGAGGAGUGGGUGAUACUGGAAAAUGGGGGCAAGCAUGAUCAAGCCAUGCCGGGUGAGUGAUGAAGGACGUAGGGUAGUAAAGCCUUUUUAUACGGGACGAUAAUGACGGUACCGGAGGAAUAAGCCCCGGCUAACUACGUG